Molecule: transfer RNA, 82 nt
Filed under: Deltaproteobacteria bacterium
Lineage: Bacteria; Pseudomonadati; Myxococcota; Myxococcia
Description: tRNA-Leu
Rfam family: tRNA
About the family: Transfer RNA (tRNA) molecules are approximately 80 nucleotides in length. Their secondary structure includes four short double-helical elements and three loops (D, anti-codon, and T loops).
Source: RNAcentral
GCGAGAAUGGCGGAAUUGGUAGACGCGCUGGACUUAGGAUCCAGUGGGGAAUCCCGUGGGGGUUCAAGUCCCCCUUCUCGCA